GUGCGCCCUUGCGCACGUGGCGUACGGCUCAGUAAUGCGUGGCUAACCUGCCCUCGUGACGGGGAUAACCUCGGGAAACUGAGGAUAAUCCCCGAUAGGCGAGCGGCUUUGGAAGAACCGCUCACCGAAAGGGACGGAGGGAAUGGCCUUCGUCUGCGCGAGGAUGGGGCUGCGUCCCAUCAGGCAGUUGGUGGGGUAAUGGCCCACCAAACCUAUAACGGGUACGGGCCGUGAGAGCGGGAGCCCGGAGAUGGGCACUGAGACAAGGGCCCAGGCUCUACGGAGCGCACCAAGCGCGAAACCUUCGCAAUGCGGGAAACCGUGACGGGGCCAUCCCGAGUGCAGGCUGCUGAGGCCUGCUUUUGCCCAGUGUAAGAAGCUGGGCGAAUAAGUGGGGGGCAAGACUGGUGUCAGCCGCCGCGGUAAUACCAGCUCCACGAGUGGUCAGGACGGUUAUUGGGCCUAAAGCGUCCGUAGCCGGCCCGGUAAGUUUAUGGUGAAAUCCGGCAUCUCAAGUGUCGGAGCGCUGUAAAUACUGCCGGGCUAGGGAGCGGGAGAGGCCGAGGGUACCUCCGGGGUAGGGGCGAAAUCCUAUAAUCCCGGAGUGACGACCAGUGGCGAAAGCGCUCGGCUAGAACGCGUCCGACGGUGAGGGACGAAAGCUGGGGUAGCAAACCGGA
Molecule: ribosomal RNA, 680 nt
Filed under: uncultured archaeon
Lineage: Archaea
Description: bacterial SSU rRNA
Rfam family: Archaeal small subunit ribosomal RNA
Source: RNAcentral